AGGGGAAUCCGGUGCGAAUCCGGAACUGUCCCGCAACGGUAUGAAGUGUCCGGCUGCCGGACAUGAAGUCCGAGGCCC
RNAcentral lists this non-coding RNA (78 nucleotides) under Streptomyces subrutilus. Lineage: Bacteria; Bacillati; Actinomycetota; Actinomycetes; Kitasatosporales; Streptomycetaceae. The record is from RNAcentral.